RNAcentral lists this transfer RNA (76 nucleotides) under bacterium. RNAcentral's name for it is "tRNA-Asp". It matches the Rfam family "tRNA". Rfam says of the family: Transfer RNA (tRNA) molecules are approximately 80 nucleotides in length. Their secondary structure includes four short double-helical elements and three loops (D, anti-codon, and T loops). RNAcentral also lists the same sequence under 1 other name. The record is from RNAcentral.
GGUGGAGUAGCUUAGCCUGGCUCAAAGCACUCGCCUGUCGAGCGAGAUAUCAGGGGUUCGAAUCCCCUCUUCACCG